This 181-nucleotide ribosomal RNA is filed under the name Paenibacillus pabuli. Its description in RNAcentral is "partial 16S ribosomal RNA". It matches the Rfam family "Bacterial small subunit ribosomal RNA", at positions 1354 to 1533 of the family's 1533-position model. The record is from RNAcentral. Lineage: Bacteria; Bacillati; Bacillota; Bacilli; Caryophanales; Paenibacillaceae.
AUGCCGCGGUGAAUACGUUCCCGGGUCUUGUACACACCGCCCGUCACACCACGAGAGUUUAUAACACCCGAAGUCGGUGGGGUAACCGCAAGGAGCCAGCCGCCGAAGGUGGAUAGAUGAUUGGGGUGAAGUCGUAACAAGGUAGCCGUAUCGGAAGGUGCGGCUGGAUCACCUCCUUUCU